Pantherophis guttatus is the source of this 810-nucleotide long non-coding RNA. RefSeq lists it as uncharacterized. The record is from RefSeq and is a predicted model, not a curated record. Lineage: Eukaryota; Metazoa; Chordata; Lepidosauria; Squamata; Colubridae.
CGAGACGUUUAAAUGCACAUACAGAUGACUUAAGAUGGAAAACUUAAAUCUCGAAGAUGGAAGCAAUAUUGCCAAACGUUUCGCAGGAUGUGAUUUUUUUUUUUUUUUAAUGGUCCAAAGAGAAAGACAGGAUAACAAAGAUAUUCCUUGACGUGAUUGGGAAAAAGGAAGAAGAAAUAGGUUGUCCCGUUCCAAUGUUUUUAGCAGCGAUCCAUUUUUCCUCCAUGCAACAGAUUGCAGGUGACGGUGAUAGUAGCGGAGAUGAUGGUAGAAUCUCCUUUUCCUUAAAUUUUACACUAAGCUUAAAAUGUUCUUCGUUUACAAAGGUGCCAUCAGUUUUAAAACCUCCAUAAAUAUCAUGGAAGGUAGAAUUCUAACAUCAAGGAACCUAUUCAAAAACUUUAGGGUUCUUUAAAGACUAGAACAAUACAACAUUCCUUGGGGUUGGCAUGGUGGCGCAGUGGUUAGAAUGCAGUACUGCAGGUUAUUUCUGCUGCCUGCCGGCUGCCUGCAGUCCAGCAGUUUGAGCCUCACCAGCUCAAGUUAACUCAGCCUUCCAUCCUUCUGAGAAAUCCUGAUGUGUCUGCAGCAGCAUUUGUUAAAACAGGCACCCGUUGUGUUUUGCUGGGCUAAGGAUUGCAUAAGGCUUUGGAACAGGGUGUUAUACCCUCAGAAGUGGUACGUCCAAAACGAAACAGAGUUCAUGCAUGUAUCGAUACGGGCACUCCUCGGCUUAUGACCACAAUUGUACCGUCUCCUGAUAGCAUGGCAGCUCUUUAAAGUCUUCCCAUAAACAGCAAACCCGCUCAA